GAUGAACGCUAGCGGCAGGCCUAACACAUGCAAGUCGAGGGAGGAGCUUUCGGGCUUCGACCGGCGUACGGGUGCGUAACGCGUAUACAAUCUGCCUUUCACAUAGGGAUAGCCCGAAGAAAUUUGGAUUAAUACCUAAUGGUAUAUAGAGGUGGCAUCACCUUUAUAUUAAAGCUGAGGCGGUGAAAGAUGAGUAUGCGUUCUAUUAGCUAGUUGGAGAGGUAACGGCUCCCCAAGGCGACGAUAGAUAGGGGUUCUGAGAGGGAUAUCCCCCACACUGGUACUGAGAUACGGACCAGACUCCUACGGGAGGCAGCAGUGAGGAAUAUUGGACAAUGGUCGGAAGACUGAUCCAGCCAUGCCGCGUGCAGGAAGACGGCCUUAUGGGUGGUAAACUGCUUUUGCAGGGGAAGAAUAAGGACUACGCGUAGUUUGAUGACGGUACUCUGCGAAUAAGCAUCGGCUAACUCCGUG
This 474-nucleotide ribosomal RNA is filed under the name uncultured bacterium. Its description in RNAcentral is "partial 16S ribosomal RNA". It matches the Rfam family "Bacterial small subunit ribosomal RNA", at positions 28 to 507 of the family's 1533-position model. The record is from RNAcentral.